Triticum urartu is the source of this 3586-nucleotide non-coding RNA. The record is from RefSeq and is a predicted model, not a curated record. Lineage: Eukaryota; Viridiplantae; Streptophyta; Magnoliopsida; Poales; Poaceae.
UGCGCUGCGCUCGCCCUGCGGAACGUGCAAAAGGGUCAAAACCCUAGCCGCCAGUUCUCGUCAAGCACGCGGCCCCUCCGCCUCGUCUCCUCCCUACUCCCUCCUCUCCCACGCCGCCGCCCUCGAGCCCGCGCCGCCUCCACCUCAUCUCCUCCCCGCUCCCUCCUCUACAACGCAGCGCCCUCGAUGCGCUGUAAGGAGCAGGGCAACGGAUUGGAUCGAGGGCGAGCUGGCCUCGCCGCCGCUGCACCUGGAUUCGCUGGCCGCCGCGUCGAGUCACCUCCGUCGCCGUCGCGAGUCAGCUCCACCGUUGCCGCCAGGAAUCCCUUCCCGACAAGGAAAAUUCCUAGGGAUUUGAUUGAUGGAGGCAUCACUAUUUGGCGCUGGAUUAUCCAUUUUUGCAGCACCAGCAAUGUUGUUUUUGUUUGGAAUGGCCAGUUCUCAAUUUCUAAAUCGGCUAUACUAUACUUCUUGUCAGGUUACAUUAUCUUGCUUGGUUUCAGUCUAUAUGUAGCACAAAAAUAGGUGACAUGGUUGGUUUGUAUGUUACACUAAGGAACACCACCAUAAGGAUAAGGGCAUUGCACUUCUUUGUUUAUAUUUGGUCUGUUCCUAUUUGAUUUGCUGUAGUACUUAAUUGCUACACCAUUUCAAGUUUCUUACUAUUUGCUUCUUGCUGUUUCAUUGUAUUCAGUUAUGAUAUAUUUUUCAACUAUACAAGCACUUGGGGAAGUCAGGAAAACUGAACCAAAGACAAACACUUUUACUGAUGAUGUUGGGGCUUUUUUUAACUGAGAUGUGAAAGAUGCAUCUUAUCCCCUGAGAUAUAUUGCCUUUAAUCUCUUGAUUUUUUCCCUGACAUGCUAAUAUAGAGCCAGAUAUGCAUGAUCCAUCAUACACAUUACAACCAAUUAUCCAUUGGUUCUUUUGUCCAUAGAGGUGAUUUUGUUUGGACCAUUAGUCUAGGUAGUGACAUUUUGAUCGAUAAGGCACAAGUUUAUUUUCUUUUUCACUCGGGCUACACUAAAGUAAGCAUAACUGUCAGUGAAAUGAAGGCAUACAAAUCAUGAAGUUUUUGCCUUGGCUGUGUGCCUCGUUUAGUUGUCACUUAUUUAUUUCUGGGAAGUUAUUCAAUUCUCAUUGAGCUUUCCUUAUGCUUUCCAUUGCUAAAGAAGAAAUUUAAACACGCAAUAUUUUAAUGUCUGAGGAGGCGAGAGGAGAUGAAAAAGGGCUGUAAGGUUGUACUUUGGUGCGUCUCUGGCCAAUGAUGGCUGGAUCCAUCUGACGCUCUUCCAAGCAGAGCAGUGCAGAUUUGCUGACUGAGCAGCGGAGAAACAUGUUUCUACAAAUGUGCCAAAACUAAUGGAUUUAAACUACAGGUAUUGCACUAUUAUUCUACAGGUAUCGCUGUAUUGCAUUAUCCAACUGUAAGUCUGUUCUAAACUCUAUGCCCCAUGUAAAUCUGAUGGAAGAUUGGGCCAUUUAAUUUUAACCAAAAAGGGUGAUAUGCUUUGAGUUGCUUGAAUCUGUCCAGACAUGAAAAUUAGAUAUACUUUGAAAGCUCGAUAUAUGAGUACGAGAUAGUUGAUACAGGUGUACCUCUUGUAGGAGAUUAUUAGUUGAUUACCUGCUUCUAUGCGGUGAACAAAUGAGUAAGCAGUUUUAGUUGAUAAAGGUGUAGGCAACACACCAUAUUUGCUCCAUUUUUUGGUUUAUAUGUCAAGGAUGUUUAGCCUUUCCUGAAUAUGUUAAUUGUGAAACAGUUUUGAUGCAAUUUUUGAACCGUUCAGUCUGUUUUGUUCGUGCAGUUCAUGGUACCAGAUCUGCAGGUUGCAUCUUGUGUAGAUUUGGCUACCACAUUAUAUGUUGAUGUUUCACUUUGCUCAGUCAAAGUUUCAGUAAAGAUUUGAAUUGAACAUAUUGUUGUAGACAUACAAAAAUGGUCUGCAUUUUUUACAUCGCCCUGACAUCCGAUUCAAACUAUAUUUUCUGCCUAAACUGUUGCGUACCCAUGAGAUCAUGGGAUAACUCAGACAUGAGCCGGUGUCCAGUGCGCAGUUGGGUGCAUUAUUUGGUGACAUCCAAUGCUAACUGUUUUUUCAAGGCCACCCAGUGGAGUGAGGGUGAGUAGUGUGGCAUCAGCCUACCGUUUAUUUAGCUGGUUCUAGGAUCUCCUUUGUUGCUGCAUCUUGAUCUCCUGCUUUGCUGUAACUAUGUUCUGCUGCUUGAUGUUUGCUUCCUUUCUUUCUAGCUACAUGCUUAUUCUUUCUAGCCACAUGCAUGUUUUCCUUUUGCUGUGGGAAAUAGUUCAGUUAUAUUUAUCAGUAGCAUCUCUAUGUUUAUAGAUACAUACUAGGAACGUGCUUAUUUAGUGUGGCCUUCUCUUUUUUAUGCAAGAAGUGUGCCUUCUCUAAUCUGACAAUCAUCUUAUUUGUUGUUCUAAAUAAUUACUGCAGGAUGGAGCAGCAGGCAUAGAUGAAAUCUACUGCCAAUUUCUAUUGGUUGCGGCAUCUUCCGCUGAGUAACUCUACAAAACAGCCUGCUAGCAUUGAUUCUUGCAAUAAAAAAAGUCUGGCAUCAUUCAUAAAAAGCUUAUAGACAUAGAUAAAUUCUUAAUCCUGCACUGGUUCUCACCAAUGAGAUUGUAGAUGUGGUAUUUUGAGAAUACCAGUGUAAUUCACUGGUCCAAAAGCUCCAUUUCUUAAUGUGUUUUUGCAGAAUGCUACCAGUAAUGUUUUUCUUUUCCUUAAUGUACAAACAUAUCUACUAGAUAUGAUUUUGGAUCUGAACUUUUCCCUGUCUGCAGCUCACAUUGUGGUAUGGUCAUGGUACAGCAAAAGGAAAAGAUGUUUAAACUUUUUUUGGGCGUCAUACAUGAAAAGUACCUUUAUUUCCAUCGAGCUUAAUUACUAAGAAAAUGUUACCACUAUUUCCUUACUAAUAAACCUAAAUGUUCUGAAAGUUCGGUCUCUUGCUCUCUUUGCUUAUGAAUCGGACACUUUCCCUUUCUUUAGUCCUUACACGGUUCCACCUCGCUUUGACUUCAUACUUUGAUGGUGUUUGUAGGUAUGAAGACUUGAAGAGUGGUCAUAAUGUUACUUAAAGGAGGCCUCAACUUGCACCAAAUACAUGGGCAUGUGCAACAGCAACUUAUGUAGGUUUCUAAAAACUAAUAAAUGCUGCUCUCAAAUCAGUUAGGAGGCUGAAGGUAGUAGCUUACUGAACUCUCAUUUCCGGAAAAAUUUGGAGAUGUCUUGUUUGUACAAUCUCUAAAGAUGGUGCUCCAUUGUUCUGUUAAUCAAGAUUUGUUCCCUCCUUUCUUACUAGCUGAUACGUGAUGACCGUUUGCAUGGGGGGGUUAUGUUAACUAUAUUCUAUUCAUGAUUCAAACUGUUUGUUGGGUAAUUUAGUUUAGACAUUGUGUCCUGAGAAUCUUGAUAUCUAGCUGUAUCGGUAUAGUAUAGUUUGUGAUUUUUCCCUCUGAAUUGAUAUAUCCACUCAGGUUGGGAUAGGUUAUGAGUAUUCUUAGUGUGGAAACAGCGGCAGUGCUGCACUUUCAUCAGAUGAUGAUAUGCCAACCUUGCGC